CACGUCAGCGCGCUUUGCUGACGUGGACACAAACGCGCUUACGUGGACACGAUUUGCUGCCACGUCAGCAAACUGCGCUGACGUGG
Non-coding RNA from Gossypium raimondii (Peruvian cotton), 86 nucleotides. NCBI's taxonomy places the organism in Eukaryota, Viridiplantae, Streptophyta, Magnoliopsida, Malvales, Malvaceae. The record is from Rfam.